GGACCGCAGAGGACUGAGGACGAAGUCCGCCAGACUGAGCGCAGAGGCCGUCUCACGCUCUUGCUGUGGAACCCCUUCUACACCACAGAUUUUCCCCCAGGACCUUGAGGGAGCGGGCGACGCCCCCCUACGCGUUCCCGUCGUCAUCCUAGAGUGAGGACGUCCCUCUUGGAGUUUGUUGGACUGGUAAAUUCAGGUCCCUGCUAACGCAGAAUGCGAACAGAGUUGAAGGACCACAACGCUCCGGCUAGUGCGGUGACAAAAAAUUCAAGAGCUUCGAAGAAGGAACCAGCCCUGCUGACAUUUUGACUUUAGCCCAGCGAGACAGAUUUUGAACGUCUAACUCAGUUUUUCAUUGUAGCUGAGAACACUAGCGAGUUUUUGCUGGAAGUCACCAAGAUCAGGACAUCUGUGCAGCUGUAAGAGAUCAACAAUCCCAUCGUGUCUCAUGGCUGUAUUUAUAAAGAGGCGCCAUUCCGAAGGAGUCCUUCCCUCUCCCGGGUAAAGCUGUCCUCCGCCUGCUCCAGGCGAGCCUUGAGUUCCAUCUCGUGUUCCAGCCUCAGCUUCUCCCGCAGCCAUUUGAAAAUUUGAAGUUACAUAUACGGUUUGCAUCAUAUUUCUCUCCAAUAGCAUUGGAAUGUAGUAUUUAAUGACACGGAAAAACAUUCUCAACACAUUGUUACAAUUGGCUGCAGGCUACCUAUCAGCAAAAGAGAACUCAGGAAAAAACAUAAAAAGCUGCCACACCUUCAGGAUCUCCUGGCUGUUCUCAAUGCCCUCUUCCUGCCAGGAGUCGAGUAUUUUCUCCACUGAUGCAUAGCCCAUCCCAUCAUCCAGGCAGGAGAAGACCCGAAAGCCAAUGGUACUUGUCAUUGCUGAUGGGGUUGUGGUACGUCGUCCACUCUCAUCGAAGGACUGGGAGAAGAAAGAGACUUGAGCAAGGUCAGGCCUUUCAACCAGACAUUGACCCAAACUGGUCCGUCCUGACCACACUGAGCAGAAGCCAUGUCUUUCUAACACUAUUAAAAAAAAAAUAAAGUCA
Molecule: long non-coding RNA, 1042 nt
Organism: Felis catus (domestic cat)
Lineage: Eukaryota; Metazoa; Chordata; Mammalia; Carnivora; Felidae
Exons: 6
Source: RefSeq, a predicted model, not a curated record